RNAcentral lists this long non-coding RNA (295 nucleotides) under Carica papaya (papaya). Its description in RNAcentral is "long non-coding RNA (CPAP_LNC005276)". The record is from RNAcentral. Lineage: Eukaryota; Viridiplantae; Streptophyta; Magnoliopsida; Brassicales; Caricaceae.
UUGAUGAUGAGUUACUUGUUGGACAUAAGAUAAAGCAAUAUAAAUCAAAAUUGUAAAAUGAAGAUGGAAACGAAUCGGUGACAGAAGCCAAAAAUGCUUCUGUCAAGCAUGGCAGGCACUAAAGUGCUGAAGUUGUACGGCAUACACGACCUAGCCAUGCGAGUUCACAGCAGGGGAUGUUUUGUGGGCAACCUAGAGUCGCCAGAAAUGUCACUGGCGUGAUACUUUUGAGCAGGUUGUAAAGAAAUGCUUUUAAGAAAGAUUGUGAUUUUUUGGAGUUGUAAAACAAAUUCCA